ACUCCUACGGGAGGCAGCAGUGGGGAAUAUUGCACAAUGGGCGCAAGCCUGAUGCAGCCAUGCCGCGUGUAUGAAGAAGGCCUUCGGGUUGUAAAGUACUUUCAGCAGUGAGGAAGGUGGGUAUGUUAAUAGCAUACUCAUUUGACGUUAGCUGCAGAAGAAGCACCGGCUAACUCCGUGCCAGCAGCCGCGGUAAUACGGAGGGUGCGAGCGUUAAUCGGAAUUACUGGGCGUAAAGCGCAUGCAGGUGGUUUGUUAAGUCAGAUGUGAAAGCCCGGGGCUCAACCUCGGAAUUGCAUUUGAAACUGGCAAACUAGAGUACUGUAGAGGGGGGUAGAAUUUCAGGUGUAGCGGUGAAAUGCGUAGAGAUCUGAAGGAAUACCGGUGGCGAAGGCGGCCCCCUGGACAGAUACUGACACUCAGAUGCGAAAGCGUGGGGAGCAAACAGGAUUAGAUACCCUGUCGGUACUGC
Molecule: ribosomal RNA, 472 nt
Filed under: uncultured bacterium
Lineage: Bacteria
Description: bacterial SSU rRNA
Rfam family: Bacterial small subunit ribosomal RNA
Source: RNAcentral